GAUUAAGUUAUUAAGGGCGCACGGUGGAUGCCUUGGCACUAGAAGCCGAUGAAGGACGUUACUAACGACGAUAUGCUUUGGGGAGCUGUAAGUAAGCUUUGAUCCAGAGAUUUCCGAAUGGGGAAACCCAGCAUGAGUUAUGUCAUGUUAUCGAUAUGUGAAUACAUAGCAUAUCAGAAGGCACACCCGGAGAACUGAAACAUCUUAGUACCCGGAGGAAGAGAAAGAAAAUUCGAUUCCCUUAGUAGCGGCGAGCGAAACGGGAAGAGCCCAAACCAACAAGCUUGCUUGUUGGGGUUGUAGGACACUCUAUACGGAGUUACAAAGGACGACAUUAGACGAAUCAUCUGGAAAGAUGAAUCAAAGAAGGUAAUAAUCCUGUAGUCGAAAAUGUUGUCUCUCUUGAGUGGAUCCUGAGUACGACGGAGCACGUGAAAUUCCGUCGGAAUCUGGGAGGACCAUCUCCUAAGGCUAAAUACUCUCUAGUGACCGAUAGUGAACCAGUACCGUGAGGGAAAGGUGAAAAGCACCCCGGAAGGGGAGUGAAAUAGAACCUGAAACCGUGUGCUUACAAGUAGUCAGAGCCCGUUAAUGGGUGAUGGCGUGCCUUUUGUAGAAUGAACCGGCGAGUUACGAUUUGAUGCAAGGUUAAGCAGUAAAUGUGGAGCCGUAGCGAAAGCGAGUCUGAAUAGGGCGUUUAGUAUUUGGUCGUAGACCCGAAACCAGGUGAUCUACCCUUGGUCAGGUUGAAGUUCAGGUAACACUGAAUGGAGGACCGAACCGACUUACGUUGAAAAGUGAGCGGAUGAACUGAGGGUAGCGGAGAAAUUCCAAUCGAACCUGGAGAUAGCUGGUUCUCUCCGAAAUAGCUUUAGGGCUAGCCUCAAGUGAUGAUUAUUGGAGGUAGAGCACUGUUUGGACGAGGGGCCCCUCUCGGGUUACCGAAUUCAGACAAACUCCGAAUGCCAAUUAAUUUAACUUGGGAGUCAGAACAUGGGUGAUAAGGUCCGUGUUCGAAAGGGAAACAGCCCAGACCACCAGCUAAGGUCCCAAAAUAUAUGUUAAGUGGAAAAGGAUGUGGCGUUGCCCAGACAACUAGGAUGUUGGCUUAGAAGCAGCCAUCAUUUAAAGAGUGCGUAAUAGCUCACUAGUCGAGUGACACUGCGCCGAAAAUGUACCGGGGCUAAACAUAUUACCGAAGCUGUGGAUUGUCCUUUGGACAAUGGUAGGAGAGCGUUCUAAGGGCGUUGAAGCAUGAUCGCAAGGACAUGUGGAGCGCUUAGAAGUGAGAAUGCCGGUGUGAGUAGCGAAAGACGGGUGAGAAUCCCGUCCACCGAUUGACUAAGGUUUCCAGAGGAAGGCUCGUCCGCUCUGGGUUAGUCGGGUCCUAAGCUGAGGCCGACAGGCGUAGGCGAUGGAUAACAGGUUGAUAUUCCUGUACCACCUAUAAUCGUUUUAAUCGAUGGGGGACGCAGUAGGAUAGGCGAAGCGUGCGAUUGGAUUGCACGUCUAAGCAGUAAGGCUGAGUAUUAGGCAAAUCCGGUACUCGUUAAGGCUGAGCUGUGAUGGGGUCUUCGAGUCGUUGAUUUCACACUGCCGAGAAAAGCCUCUAGAUAGAAAAUAGGUGCCCGUACCGCAAACCGACACAGGUAGUCAAGAUGAGAAUUCUAAGGUGAGCGAGCGAACUCUCGUUAAGGAACUCGGCAAAAUGACCCCGUAACUUCGGGAGAAGGGGUGCUCUUUAGGGUUAACGCCCAGAAGAGCCGCAGUGAAUAGGCCCAAGCGACUGUUUAUCAAAAACACAGGUCUCUGCUAAACCGUAAGGUGAUGUAUAGGGGCUGACGCCUGCCCGGUGCUGGAAGGUUAAGAGGAGUGGUUAGCUUCUGCGAAGCUACGAAUCGAAGCCCCAGUAAACGGCGGCCGUAACUAUAACGGUCCUAAGGUAGCGAAAUUCCUUGUCGGGUAAGUUCCGACCCGCACGAAAGGCGUAACGAUUUGGGCACUGUCUCAACGAGAGACUCGGUGAAAUCAUAGUACCUGUGAAGAUGCAGGUUACCCGCGACAGGACGGAAAGACCCCGUGGAGCUUUACUGUAGCCUGAUAUUGAAAUUCGGCACAGCUUGUACAGGAUAGGUAGGAGCCUUUGAAACGUGAGCGCUAGCUUACGUGGAGGCGCUGGUGGGAUACUACCCUAGCUGUGUUGGCUUUCUAACCCGCACCACUUAUCGUGGUGGGAGACAGUGUCAGGCGGGCAGUUUGACUGGGGCGGUCGCCUCCUAAAAGGUAACGGAGGCGCUCAAAGGUUCCCUCAGAAUGGUUGGAAAUCAUUCAUAGAGUGUAAAGGCAUAAGGGAGCUUGACUGCGAGACCUACAAGUCGAGCAGGGUCGAAAGACGGACUUAGUGAUCCGGUGGUUCCGCAUGGAAGGGCCAUCGCUCAACGGAUAAAAGCUACCCCGGGGAUAACAGGCUUAUCUCCCCCAAGAGUUCACAUCGACGGGGAGGUUUGGCACCUCGAUGUCGGCUCAUCGCAUCCUGGGGCUGUAGUCGGUCCCAAGGGUUGGGCUGUUCGCCCAUUAAAGCGGUACGCGAGCUGGGUUCAGAACGUCGUGAGACAGUUCGGUCCCUAUCCGUCGUGGGCGUAGGAAAUUUGAGAGGAGCUGUCCUUAGUACGAGAGGACCGGGAUGGACAUACCUCUGGUGUACCAGUUGUCGUGCCAACGGCAUAGCUGGGUAGCUAUGUGUGGACGGGAUAAGUGCUGAAAGCAUCUAAGCAUGAAGCCCCCCUCAAGAUGAGAUUUCCCAACUUCGGUUAUAAGAUCCCUCAAAGAUGAUGAGGUUAAUAGGUUCGAGGUGGAAGCAUGGUGACAUGUGGAGCUGACGAAUACUAAUCGAUCGAAGACUUAAUCAA
Molecule: ribosomal RNA, 2909 nt
Filed under: Staphylococcus aureus
Lineage: Bacteria; Bacillati; Bacillota; Bacilli; Caryophanales; Staphylococcaceae
Description: 23S ribosomal RNA
Rfam family: Bacterial large subunit ribosomal RNA
Source: RNAcentral